Molecule: unclassified non-coding RNA, 1715 nt
Filed under: Hevea brasiliensis (rubber tree)
Lineage: Eukaryota; Viridiplantae; Streptophyta; Magnoliopsida; Malpighiales; Euphorbiaceae
Source: RNAcentral
GGAAUCAGCUAUUGAAUUUUGAAUUCUGUAUUCUAUCUUUUUGUGCUUACGCACGCUCUAGUUGAAGAUUAUUUACUCUAGGUUAGGCGGUUGUACAUAUGUUUCACUUGCUUUCACAAUUAUAUCUUUAGUCCACUGUCAUUUUGCUUUCUUCUCAGAAAAUCCUGUGGAAAAUUUGUCAAUCUCCUUAAAGAUGAAGUUCAUAUGCAAGUUUUUGGAUGGGUUGCAGAAGAUGUUUUUGUAGAGGGGUAGACAUUCUAGAUCUCACACAAGGGUAGACAUUCCAAAAUUAUACAAUCCAUUUAAUUCACACUGUUACGCGAAUUUCAAAUAACUUGAAAUAUCAUUCUCAUCAUAAAGUAUUAUCUUUACCACUUAUUAAUAAUUUAAACUAUUUAACUAAUAAUUAAUUUCAUCGAUGUUAGAAUAUACUAAAUUCCGAUUUUUCAAUUUUCUAUAAGUUCUUUGCUUAUUUUCCCUGCUACAGAUAAUCAAGAACCAAUUUUGAAUAAGGAUGAACAUACUGCUGCUCAAUCACAAUUCCUUAAACUCAAGCACUGGCAAUGGUGGCUUUUGGUGGCAAUCAACAUCUUCUUCCUCAUUGCAGGCCAGUCUGCUGCUGUUCUUCUUGGGAGAUUUUAUUAUGACAAAGGUGGAAAUAGUAAAUGGAUGGCAACCCUUGUUCAAACUGUUGCUUUCCCAAUCCUUUGCAUCCCUCUCUUUCUACUACCUUCCUCUCAAGAGUCUUCAACCUCUUCCGCCUCACCCUCCAUUAGAAUUCUUGCCUUGAUCUAUUUGUUUCUUGGAUUACUUAUAGCUGGUGAUAACAUGUUAUAUUCUACUGGGCUCUUGUACUUGUCUGCCUCUACUUAUUCUCUCGUUUGUGCAUCCCAAUUAGCUUUCAAUGCUAUUUUCUCAUACUUCAUAAAUUCUCAGAAGUUCACUUCCUUAAUUCUCAACUCUGUGGUUGUGCUUUCAUUUUCUGCGGCUCUCAUUGCCGUCAAUGAUGAUUCAGACAGUCCAUCAGGAGUCUCUGAGUGGAAGUAUAUCAUUGGCUUCGUUUGUACCCUUGGUGCUUCGGCAAUAUACUCUCUUCUGCUUUCUCUCAUGCAGCUGUCCUUUCAAAAAUUCAUAAAAAAGGAAACUUUUAAUGUCGUGUUGGAAAUGCAGAUCUUCACAUCACUUGUUGCCACCUGUGUUUCUAUCAUCGGUCUUUUUGCUAGUGGGGAAUGGAAGACUUUGCAUGGAGAAAUAUCGAGUUUUGUUAGUGGGAGGGUGUCUUACAUUAUGACACUGGUUUGGACAGCAGUAUGUUGGCAGGUUUGUUCCGUUGGUGUUGUAGGCCUGAUUUUCUUGGUAUCUUCUCUUUUUUCCAAUGUAAUAAGUACUGUCGCCUUGGCUGUAUCUCCUAUUGCUGCUGUUGUGGUUUUCCAUGACAAGAUGAAUGGUGUGAAGGUAAUCUCUUUGCUUAUGGCUUUCUGGGGUUUUGGUUGCUAUAUUUACCAGAGUUAUCUUGAUGAUUCUAAGGUGAGGAGAGAACAGCAUCAUGUUAUUGAAACGACCCAUCAUGAUUCUUCAUGUUGAUAACUCUGGAAUUGAUUUUAAUGAAAUCCUUUGUGAUUCUUUACUUUAAGUCUUGGGUAUUUUUUGUCACAUCUUUUUUUAUGUCAUAUGCUACCAUUUUAGUUGUUUUGUUAAGGCUUGUUGUUUUGUUA